GAGGGUAUAGCUCAGUGGUAGAGCACAUGCUUAGCGUGCACGAGGUCCUGGGUUCAAUCCCCAGUACCUCCA
This 72-nucleotide transfer RNA is filed under the name Camelus bactrianus (Bactrian camel). It matches the Rfam family "tRNA". Rfam says of the family: Transfer RNA (tRNA) molecules are approximately 80 nucleotides in length. Their secondary structure includes four short double-helical elements and three loops (D, anti-codon, and T loops). The record is from Rfam by way of RNAcentral. RNAcentral also lists the same sequence under 2 other names. Lineage: Eukaryota; Metazoa; Chordata; Mammalia; Artiodactyla; Camelidae.